RNAcentral lists this ribosomal RNA (245 nucleotides) under uncultured Oscillospiraceae bacterium. Its description in RNAcentral is "partial 16S ribosomal RNA". It matches the Rfam family "Bacterial small subunit ribosomal RNA", at positions 524 to 769 of the family's 1533-position model. Lineage: Bacteria; Bacillati; Bacillota; Clostridia; Eubacteriales; Oscillospiraceae. The record is from RNAcentral.
AACGUAGGGUGCGAGCGUUGUCCGGAAUUACUGGGUGUAAAGGGAGCGCAGGCGGUGGAGCAAGUUGGGUGUCAAAGCCAUGGGCUCAACCCAUGAUCGCACUCAAAACUGCACCACUUGAGUGAAGCAGAGGCAGGCGGAAUUUCCGGUGUAGCGGUGGAAUGCGUAGAUAUCGGAAGGAACACCAGUGGCGAAGGCGGCCUGCUGGGCUUUAACUGACGCUGAGGCUCGAAAGCAUGGGUAGC